RNAcentral lists this small nuclear RNA (107 nucleotides) under Catagonus wagneri (Chacoan peccary). Lineage: Eukaryota; Metazoa; Chordata; Mammalia; Artiodactyla; Tayassuidae. The record is from RNAcentral.
GUACUUGCUUCUGCAGCACAUAUACUAAAAUUAGAAUGAUACAGAGAAGAGUCGCGUGGCCCCUGUGCAAGGAUGACACGCAAAUUUGUUAAGCAUUUCAUAUUUCC